UCUCCUGUCACUCUCUGGUUAAGAACCACUUAUAUGCUCAGCAGCUGACGAGACCGGGACAAAGAGGCAUGAAGAUCAGCCCUUGUGGACUGUAGAGAAACAGUUGCCGAAGAAAACAGGCUGUUCUCUUGAUGACUUAUUCCAAAAGGUGAAGCUCCAGAGAUCAUAUCUGCUGUGGAAAUCAAGGCUGUGUGAACAUCACAGAGCUGAUUCUUUCUCUCAGACUUUGGAGCAGUGUAGACUCAGAAAAGCUCUGAAAUUAUGGCACCAAAAGUGUCACAUGCUGAAGACAGCUGAACAAAGUCCUAAGCACAGGACUGUUGAUGAAGAACCUCUUGCCAUGCUGUUUUCAGAAGACCUCUCAACAUCUUCUGGCUUUGACAGCAGUGCUUCAGCUAUUCUGACCUCUCAGAACUCAUUGGACAAGGAAUACAGUUUUAGUGACAGCAACCAGCAGAGCUUCUCCUCCAUUCUGACUGCUGAGGAUGUCACACCGAUACCUUAUUACAGCUCUUUCCUGCAACUACACCAAUGUGCAGAGUUGCCAGCUGAGCUGGGUGGGCAGCUGUACCUGCAGGCCUUUCCUCCAUGGAGUAUCAGAUCUGGAAGAAAUUGGUUUGUGGGAGGUCAGUUGCAGUCUCUGGCACUGCAGAGUCCAGACAAUAAUGGCCAGUAUCCCUCCAGUUACUCUACAUGGGAGGAGGUAAGCAAUACCACGCAUGUAACUGUACAGGUGUUUGCUGCAGAGCUCCAUUUAGCAAAGAGCCUUUGGGUUUCACUGUCAGCGUA
This is a long non-coding RNA of Dryobates pubescens (Downy woodpecker), 789 nucleotides long. RefSeq lists it as uncharacterized. Lineage: Eukaryota; Metazoa; Chordata; Aves; Piciformes; Picidae. The record is from RefSeq and is a predicted model, not a curated record. The transcript has 4 exons.